AAUAAUAAAAAAUAAAAAAUAAAGAAAAAUAAUAUAACUAAUAAUAAUAGAUAAGAAAUAAAUAAAUAAAUAAAAUAAACUAGGCAAACAGUGGUGGGGGUGCCAGAAUAAACGGCGAUGAGCCGACGAGGGCGAGGCGGUCGACAGGCGUGCGGUGGGUGGAGUGAGGGAGAAAUAGAAGAAGAGAAAAAGAAAGAAGAAGAGGGGUCGGGUUCAAUGAAGGAAGGAGAAGGCCGUGGGAGGGAAGGUCGGUUGGGGCUAGCUCGUGCAUGGUUCGAAUGGAAGAGGAAAGGGAAAACAAGGAGAAGGGUAAGGGUGGAGACGGUGGAACAAAUGACGACGGUGGCCGGAGGGGAGUGGAGUUGGGUCAAGGGAAGUCGGCGGCUA
RNAcentral lists this long non-coding RNA (387 nucleotides) under Gossypium raimondii (Peruvian cotton). RNAcentral describes it as "long non-coding RNA (GRAI_LNC001456)". The record is from RNAcentral. Lineage: Eukaryota; Viridiplantae; Streptophyta; Magnoliopsida; Malvales; Malvaceae.